AGUUCCAAAAAAAUUUUAUCACAAUUUUAUUUUUAUUUUUUUAAUUGACAGUUGUUGUUUUUUGAUUGAAUAAUUGUGAAACAAAUUGAACUCCACAGUUUCUGCUGCAGUGAGUCAAUAACGAUGUCGUGAUACAUUUAACCACAUCUUCCCUCUGCCGCCACCUAGAGGAUAAAAGAGCUUCUACACUGCUACUUCAGUGACCCAUUGGCCAUACCUCGAAACUUCUGAAGUGAGGAACUUUUAACAUUUUAAAAGCAAAGUUAAUUUUUUAUACGAUAUAAAUUAACAUCUUUCUUUAGUAUAAAUCCAGGACGAAGACCAAAGACUACUCCUGAGCAUUUUACGUGGAAAACACAGGAGAGAAAAAGACAGGACACGUGACUUGUGUCAAGGUUCACGCGCGGCGCUUCUUCACGCAGCUGACUGCUAGUUUAUCGUUUUUAUUUAUUUAUUUUUGGUAAUUAGGUUUUAGCUACAAACGGAACACAAAAAAAAAUAAAAAAAUAAAAAUCAGGACCCUGAAGUGUUCGAGGACCGGGUCCGACCAUGAACUGUUUGCGAAGUGAUAAAUACAAAGUUCCACAUCUGCAGACUGCUUCCAAUUAGCGACUCUGUGACUGGAGCCUCUGACUCUGGUAAUAGGAUCCGUCCUACACGCUGCAGGCCAUGCUGUGUUUACCAUCAUUGCUGCUGUUUUGUUCUCCACCAACUCUGUUGUUUACUUGCCCCUUUGGGAAACAUUUCCAGGUAAUUGUCGUGACAGAUUAUUCUACAACACCUCAACCUAUUUUUGGAGCUAUUUCUGAUUCCUCCGUGUAUUAAAACGUUUUUCCGAGUUAACAGUUUUUAAGAAAAUACGGAAGACUGAUGUCCCACAGCAAGCAGAGAGCUCGGUGACGGUGGACUUUGGACAGUAGGACAACACUGGUGGUGGGUCCAAGGAGCCAAUCUCCAGGUGAUCACUGGCAAGAUCCCCAACAAAGACAAGCCAGGCAAGGUACGCCAAUACAGCCCUGUACAUAAGUCACAAGAACAGAAAAAUGUAUUUGUAAUACUCAAUUUACACAUGCAUUAUUUAUGUUUUAAAACAUGUAACAAUUUAGUUACCAACAGUUGAGAUUAUUUAAGUGUUUUGUUCCUGUUACAAUACUUUCAGUACAAUUUACUUUGUGUGCUAACAGUGUUAGUACACAAAAGUGGAAACGAACUUUACCAGUAUCCCGUUUACACAGAACACUUGGGUGAUGCAGGUUUUUAAUUACUUACAGGUAGCUCAGAUGCUAACAUAAACAAGGCUAACUUUCAGUGAAGCUCCAUUUUUGGCUGCUUGUUUAUUCUAUCCAGGAAACAAAAAAUAUAUUGAAACUUUAGGCAUUGUUUAGUUAAAGUGAACACAUCUGUUUUAGAACUGAAAAGGUCUGUUUUUUGAUGGGAGUGAUUAUCACUGGCUUGUGCUUAAUUUUGCAGAUCUUCACCACUGCACAUUAAGAGGCCGUUUGCAUUUUGAAAAUGCUUCACGUUUGUCAACAAACUUCUUUACUCCACAGAAACAACACUUGAGCUAGAUGUUAUAAGUACUUUAAUAAUGUAUUGUACGUGAACAGUAGCAUUGUUUGUGCAUUUAGAUUUUGAGGAGACUCUCGGGUGGACCCAGAACUCUCAACUGGGACCAUUUCCCUUUUGAACUCCUUCGUACACCGGGAGAGGGAUGUUUGUGCUUUCCUCUUGAACUUGUGAUCUCUGCAAUCUGGGUAUUAGAUGAGUGGAUAAAACAUAUAUUGACAGAUGUAUUAUGUCAUUUUCAUCUUUCAGGAUGACAGUGUGAGGACAGUGUUGUAGGCUUUUUGUUUUAAGAAAAAGUUGGUUAAAGUUGGGACUUAAUCUUUAACAAUCUGUUUGAAAUGAGACCUUAAAACUUUAGAAAGUCCAGCAGGAAGCUCUUCCAUUACUCAAACGUCUAAAUUUUUGAGUGGCACUUAUCUCCAGUUGCUAUUUUAGUAAAGUACCUUGCUGCAUACACUCACCUGAACAAAACUGCAGUCACAUAUCACAGGUUUCAAGCUGUAUUUUCACUUUGCUUUAAAUAGCUACCUCUGUUUUCAUGAAGGACCACAUAGAAACCCCCCUGUUACUCAACAUUGCACGAAUCCAUUUAGGAAGACCCAAAGAUGUAAACACGCUGGUCCAGUGGCACAGAUAACAAAACUAAGUGCAAACUUUAUUUUUGGCUUGUACCGGUGAAGCAUGUGAUGUACAGUGUCCCAGAGGCAACACGUGUUAUGUUAGCGGCUGGGCACUUCAUAUCAUCCACUGAACAAGUGAAAAGGAGCCAAUUUAUCUCUCAGACUUAUGUCAGCACAUGUCCAGUCUCGCUUUGAUCAGACUAAUCUAACUAAUGUGUGUGGUGGAUUAUGGAACUUAAAACUGGAAGGAUUAAGUUGCUCUUUCUGGAGCAGGUCAGAAAGAGCAACUUAGACCAAUAAUUAGGUCUUACUGACCUAAUUUAUUGCUGGCAAAAAUAAUGAUGGAUGAAAACUUGUUUUGUAUUGAAACUGUUGAAUUGUUAGGUUUGUGUUACCGUAAGUUUAGGAAUGAUUAAGUAAGCAAAGAUUUUCAUGCUAUUGCAAACAAACAAUAAAAGAAGCCACCUUUUACACUCUUUUCUCCAGUAAGAAACUUGCAUAAAUAUAGAAAUUAAUAGGUGUACAUACUUUAGUCUAUUUGGGCAAGCUGGUGGAUUUGCAGGCAUUUUAAAUGGUCAGACAGUGGUGUGUCGCUGCUUGGUGGACUGUGAGCUAAAAACACUGCAGAGCUGUCUGUAUGAAGCCAUUAUGUGGGAAUUGUUUGGGGAGGAAGGGAUAGUCAGUGGUGUAACUGUACAAAAAAUGUGGCAUAAUCUGACUAGUGAUAUCCAUGGAGUUAUUGAAACGAUCUAAAAGUUCAGUUGAAGUAAUGUCCAGACCAAGGAGGAGUUCAUUUAACAAUGUUGUCUGGUAAAUUCUGAGCCUACCAAGUGUAGGUCUUUAGGCAGGAACUGGUUGGUACCAUUGUGAUUAAAUGACUGAACUGUCAGUGAAAUAUAAACAGGAUUAAAAUGGGUGUAGUGACCAUGAAGACUUUUGACAAGAAUUUCCCCAUGGUUUUUUUUUUUCGCUUUCAAAGCUUUCACAACUCUAAAACUUUUGUUUUCAGUUCCAGUGGGAACUGAAAACAUUUUUGAGAAAUAUACAAAGUCUAGAGAUAUGAUUUUUCCUUUAAAGAGAUUUUUAAGGGAUCAUGAUAAAGCAAUUUUCUCUUUGGCCUCCACAGUAUUUCCUGGACAACAUCCUGUUGGUGUUUUUUCAUCUGACUUAAACAGUCAUCCCACUAAUUCAAACUAUUUCCCAAUCAUCUUCUGCAGAAAGCAUUCUCGUUCAAGGCGUCCAUUGUGUGUAUGUUCACGUUCCUCAUGUUUGGAUAAAGACUUCAAGAGGAACCACUCAACUAGUUCUUUCUACUUUUAUAAUUCAUCACUUCAGCACUUCUUACCUGCUUCUGUAAAGCGUAGCAACACAGUCAAUAUGCAGCACUAGACAAAAAAAACAACUAUUAAACUAAAGCUCCAUGUCUACCUGCAUUUCUCGUCUCCUACAUGUAGCAUUAAAUAUUUAAGACAUCACCUAAUGGAAAAGAAGGACGACGGAUCACUAAAUUUGAGUAGUUUGUUUCUUUUAUGUUCAUCCACAUAUUUCUUACUUUUCACCUUUCCCCUCUGGAGACUAUUUGCUCUCCUGCCUGCCUAAGCUGGUCCGCUGGAUUUUAUGAUUCAGAUUAAAGUGACCUUGAGCUGACCUAUAAGGGUCACUCUCUAGACAAUAUGCUGGUUUUAAAACCAGUACGCACUCUUAAAACUGUGUUCGUUCCAUUUUACUUUUACAUAUUAUGACUAAGAUCAUCGUUUAUACUUUGCUCUGCACAAAUUCUGUCUCUCAGAGCUGUUAAGAAAAUCAAAAUUUGGAAAUAUUUCCCAGUUUUACGUGGUGAUACCAAUGAUAUAGCUGUUUUAAAAGCCUCAUAGCGUUAUUGCGGUGUAACGCUAUGGCCCAUGUUUUUGAAAUGGGCCAUUAUUGACAGUUGCCCAGGGUGGCAUUAGAAGGAGGAAGCACACAAAAUAACACCUGUCUGUCUAAGAGAUAUGACAGUUUUCUGUAUCGCACAAAUAAUACAAAAUACUGGCAUCAUAAUUCAUUUAUUCACCUGGAUUUUUUUUUUCACAGUAUACAUAAUACAAAAAUAUAGAGUACCAAAAGUUUACAGUGUCCAAAAAAGGCAGUGUUCAGUCAAAUUCACAUUAAGCAAGUUUUUUUUAGGGCAAGAAAAUUACUUUUAGAGCUCUUUGAGCAAAGUGUGAGGACGAUACUGAAUUAAGUGUUCAACAGUUCUCUAUCCAAAUUGGGUGUUUUCUGCUUCUUAUCUCAACACUUGCAAAAGUAUUCACUCCUCUUGAACCUUUUUCACAUUUAUGAGGUUGUAACCACAAACUCCAGUUUACACAAUAGACCAAUACAAAGUAGUGUUCACUUGGGAAGUGAAAAGGAUAUAUGUGGUUUCCAAUGUUUUUAUACAUAAAAAACUUAAAAGUGUACCGUGUAUGUAUGGUAUUUAUGCCUUACACGAUAGAGAUAUGGCGCUUUACCUUAACUGGCAGCUUAAGGAGGUUUUUAGUGACUACAGGGUGAAAACCUUUGCAUGGCUCUAUCUCUGAGAGGGUGUCUCAUUAUAGUCAGAUUUGUGAUUUAGACAUACACAGUAAUAUAAACAUGGCACAGAAACAAACAAAAAAACACACAAUUUCUUUCUCAUUUUGAGAAAUGAGAUCAAGGACACAAAAAUAAUAAAAAAAAAUUCAGUUAAGGGCAGGUAUAGUACAAGUAGGGGUUUUGCUACAUCAGCAAGAAGUGAACAGAAUUUGUCACCAACUUGAAACGGUAUUAUGUUUUUUGCUAUUUUACAAUAAGAUGUAAUUUCUAACAUAUUCGGAAAAGAUAUCCGUCAAAGAAACAUUGUCAUUUGGCACCAGAUACAUAGAAAAAUGUGUAAUUUCAGCUAAAAGUGCAGAAAUGUUCAGUACAGAAUAUCUCUGGUGUUAUUAAUGACGUCUUUGCUUAAUGAGUGCUAACGCAGAAAUUCUAGGAUAAAUUCAUACUUUAUGAAAAUUAUAUGAUAAUAAUACAGAAUGUUACAACCUUGAGUAAGGCACAUUGCACUGAAACCAUUUUUACCUCCUUUCAAAUGUCUUCUGUUUAUACUUUAAACCUUCCAGCACUUUAACCUUUUGUGGCAAAUCUGCUACUAAUGCCUGUUGAUGCAUAUUCUCAACAUACCAAGGAUCAUAUUUUGCAUCUUUCUAAUUAAACCUAGAAUGCUAUUUGUA
This is a long non-coding RNA of Xiphophorus hellerii (green swordtail), 5416 nucleotides long. RefSeq lists it as uncharacterized. Lineage: Eukaryota; Metazoa; Chordata; Actinopteri; Cyprinodontiformes; Poeciliidae. The record is from RefSeq and is a predicted model, not a curated record. The transcript has 2 exons.